Molecule: ribosomal RNA, 407 nt
Filed under: uncultured bacterium
Lineage: Bacteria
Description: bacterial SSU rRNA
Rfam family: Bacterial small subunit ribosomal RNA
Source: RNAcentral
GGGGAAUAUUGCACAAUGGGCGCAAGCCUGAUGCAGCGACGCCGCGUGGGGGAUGAAGGCCUUCGGGUUGUAAACUCCUUUCAACCAUGACGAAGCAUUAUGUGACGGUAGUGGUAGAAGAAGCACCGGCUAACUACGUGCCAGCAGCCGCGGUAAUACGUAGGGUGCGAGCGUUGUCCGGAAUUACUGGGCGUAAAGAGCUCGUAGGUGGUUUGUCGCGUCGUCUGUGAAAUUCCGGGGCUUAACUCCGGGCGUGCAGGCGAUACGGGCAUAACUUGAGUGCUGUAGGGGAGACUGGAAUUCCUGGUGUAGCAGUGAAAUGCGCAGAUAUCAGGAGGAACACCGAUGGCGAAGGCAGGUCUCUGGGCAGUAACUGACGCUGAGGAGCGAAAGCAUGGGUAGCGAAC